UGGGGAAUAUUGCGCAAUGGGGGGAACCCUGACGCAGCCAUGCCGCGUGAAUGAAGAAGGCCUUAGGGUUGUAAAGUUCUUUCGGUAUUGAGGAAGGUUGAUGUGUUAAUAGCACAUCAAAUUGACGUUAAAUACAGAAGAAGCACCGGCUAACUCCGUGCCAGCAGCCGCGGUAAUACGGAGGGUGCGAGCGUUAAUCGGAAUAACUGGGCGUAAAGGGCACGCAGGCGGUUAUUUAAGUGAGGUGUGAAAGCCCCGGGCUUAACCUGGGAAUUGCAUUUCAGACUGGGUAACUAGAGUACUUUAGGGAGGGGUAGAAUUCCACGUGUAGCGGUGAAAUGCGUAGAGAUGUGGAGGAAUACCGAAGGCGAGGGCAGCCCCUUGGGAAUGUACUGACGCUCAUGUGCGAAAGCGUGGGGAGCAAACAGGAUUAGAUACCCUGGUAGUCCACGCUGUAAACGCUGUCGAUUUGGGGGUUGGGGUUUAACUCUGGCGCCCGUAGCUAACGUGAUAAAUCGACCGCCUGGGGAGUACGGCCGCAAGGUUA
This 547-nucleotide ribosomal RNA is filed under the name uncultured bacterium. RNAcentral describes it as "bacterial SSU rRNA". It matches the Rfam family "Bacterial small subunit ribosomal RNA", at positions 355 to 896 of the family's 1533-position model. The record is from RNAcentral.